Non-coding RNA from Hyaena hyaena (striped hyena), 626 nucleotides. Lineage: Eukaryota; Metazoa; Chordata; Mammalia; Carnivora; Hyaenidae. The record is from the annotation of a RefSeq genome assembly.
GCUCAUCAGUUCAGCUUCGCAAAAUGAAGUUCCCUGCUCAGCUCUUGGGGCUCUUCAUGCUCUGGAUCCCAGGAUCCAGUGGGGAUAUUGUGAUGACACAGAGCCCUCUGUCCCUGCCCAUCAACCCUGGACAGCCAGCCUCCAUCUCCUGCAGGGCCAGUCAGAGCCUCCUGCACAGUAAUGGAUACACCUAUUUAAGUUGGUACCAGCAGAAGCCAGGCCAGUCUCCACGGCUCCUCAUCUAUUAUGCUUCCAAUCGGGCCUCUGGGGUCCCUGAUAGGUUCAGUGGCAGCGGGUCAGGGACAGAUUUCACCCUGAGAAUCAGCAGGGUGGAGGCUGAGGACGUCGGGGUUUACUACUGCCAGCAAGCUCUACAAAGUCCUCCCACGGUGAAUAAACUUUGAACAAAAACCUGCCUGGCUGGGGAUUUCAACUGCCCCAAAGUGUUGCUUGUCUGGGGGGCCCACAGCAGGUCGUCCAAGUGUGUGUAAGCGGAAGACGUUGGACACCCCAGGGGACUAGAUCGCAGCUGAGGGCCCCACACCACGAGGGCUUUGGCUCCCCUCGGGCACCACGUGCUAAGGCCCCAUCAGGUGCCACAGCUUUAGGAUGGCAGAACCUGUCCU